This 167-nucleotide non-coding RNA is filed under the name Clostridium saudiense. RNAcentral's name for it is "Lysine riboswitch". It matches the Rfam family "Lysine riboswitch aptamer". Rfam says of the family: Riboswitches are metabolite binding domains within certain messenger RNAs that serve as precision sensors for their corresponding targets. Allosteric rearrangement of mRNA structure is mediated by ligand binding, and this results in modulation of gene expression. This family includes riboswitches that sense lysine in a number of genes involved in lysine metabolism, including lysC. Lineage: Bacteria; Bacillati; Bacillota; Clostridia; Eubacteriales; Clostridiaceae. The record is from RNAcentral.
GUAGGUAGAGGUUGCGAUAUUUAAUAGUAUGUUUGCGGAGGUAAGCACAGUGAUGUAAACAGAAAGGAAAUUUCGCCGAAAUGUAUAGCUAAUGCUUUGAGGCUAUAACAUUGGGGUUAUGUAGAAGAUACAUAACACUGUCACAGUUCGCUUUGUGAGGAGCUAUC